AGUGAACGCUGGCGGUAGGCCUAACACAUGCAAGUCGAACGGCAGCACAGUAAGAGCUUGCUCUUACGGGUGGCGAGUGGCGGACGGGUGAGGAAUACAUCGGAAUCUACUUUUUCGUGGGGGAUAACGUAGGGAAACUUACGCUAAUACCGCAUACGACCUACGGGUGAAAGCAGGGGAUCUUCGGACCUUGCGCGAUUGAAUGAGCCGAUGUCGGAUUAGCUAGUUGGCGGGGUAAAGGCCCACCAAGGCGACGAUCCGUAGCUGGUCUGAGAGGAUGAUCAGCCACACUGGAACUGAGACACGGUCCAGACUCCUACGGGAGGCAGCAGUGGGGAAUAUUGGACAAUGGGCGCAAGCCUGAUCCAGCCAUACCGCGUGUGAGAAGAAGGCCUUCGGGUUGUAAAGCCCUUUUGUUGGGAAAGAAAAGCAGCAGGUUAAUACCCCGCUGUUCUGACGGUACCCAAAGAAUAAGCACCGGCUAACUUCGUG
This 492-nucleotide ribosomal RNA is filed under the name uncultured bacterium. RNAcentral describes it as "partial 16S ribosomal RNA". It matches the Rfam family "Bacterial small subunit ribosomal RNA", at positions 29 to 507 of the family's 1533-position model. The record is from RNAcentral.